UACGGAGGGGGCGAGCGUUGUCCGAAGUCACUGGGCGUAAAGGGCGCGUAGGCGGCCAGCACAAGUCAGUUGUGAAAUCUCCGAGCUUAACUCGGAACGGUCAACUGAUACUGUGCGGCUAGAGUGCGGAAGGGGCAACUGGAAUUCUUGGUGUAGCGGUGAAAUGCGUAGAUAUCAAGAGGAACACCUGCGGCGAAGGCGGGUUGCUGGGCCGACACUGACGCUGAGGCGCGAAAGCCAGGGGAGCGAACGGG
Molecule: ribosomal RNA, 254 nt
Filed under: uncultured bacterium
Lineage: Bacteria
Description: partial 16S ribosomal RNA
Rfam family: Bacterial small subunit ribosomal RNA
Source: RNAcentral